This 1438-nucleotide ribosomal RNA is filed under the name metagenome. Its description in RNAcentral is "bacterial LSU rRNA". It matches the Rfam family "Bacterial large subunit ribosomal RNA", at positions 1450 to 2876 of the family's 2925-position model. The record is from RNAcentral.
GGAUGUGUAGUGCGAUGUGGGGACGGAGAAGGUUAGCUCAGCCAACUGUUGGAUAUGUUGGUUCAAGCCUGUAGUCGUGCCUGGUAGGUAAAUCCGCCGGGCUUAGAUGAGGGGUGAUAACGAGGCUGCUUGCAGCCGAAGUGAGUAAUACCCUGCUUCCAGGAAAAGCCACUAAGCUUCAGCUACACACGACCGUACCGCAAACCGACACUGGUGCGCGAGAUGAGUAUUCUAAGGCGCUUGAGAGAACUCAGGAGAAGGAACUCGGCAAAUUGACACCGUAACUUCGGAAGAAGGUGUGCCUUUAGUAGGUGAAGGGAUUUACUCCUGGAGCCCAAUGAGGUUGCAAAAAAUCGGUGGCUGCGACUGUUUAUUAAAAACACAGCACUCUGCAAACACGAAAGUGGACGUAUAGGGUGUGACGCCUGCCCGGUGCUGGAAGAUUAAAUGAUGGGGUGCAAGCUCUUGAUUGAAGUCCCAGUAAACGGCGGCCGUAACGAUAACGGUCCUAAGGUAGCGAAAUUCCUUGUCGGGUAAGUUCCGACCUGCACGAAUGGCGUAACGAUGGCCACACUGUCUCCUCCUGAGACUCAGCGAAGUUGAAAUGUUUGUGAUGAUGCAAUCUCCCCGCGGAAAGACGGAAAGACCCCAUGAACCUUUACUGUAGCUUUGUAUUGGACUUUGAACGGAUCUGUGUAGGAUAGGUGGGAGGCUUUGAAGCAGGGUCGCUAGAUCUUGUGGAGCCAACGUUGAAAUACCACCCUGGUGCGUUUGAGGUUCUAACCUAGGUCCAUUAUCUGGAUCGGGGACAGUGCAUGGUAGGCAGUUUGACUGGGGCGGUCCCCUCCCAAAGCGUAACGGAGGAGUUCGAAGGUACGCUAGUUACGGUCGGACAUCGUGACGAUAGUGCAAUGGCAUAAGCGUGCUUAACUGCGAGACUGACAAGUCGAGCAGAUGCGAAAGCAGGACAUAGUGAUCCGGUGGUUCUGUAUGGAAGGGCCAUCGCUCAACGGAUAAAAGGUACUCUGGGGAUAACAGGCUGAUACCGCCCAAGAGUUCAUAUCGACGGCGGUGUUUGGCACCUCGAUGUCGGCUCAUCUCAUCCUGGGGCUGUAGCCGGUCCCAAGGGUAUGGCUGUUCGCCAUUUAAAGAGGUACGUGAGCUGGGUUUAAAACGUCGUGAGACAGUUUGGUCCCUAUCUUCCGUGGGCGCUGCAGAUUUGAGGAAGCCUGCUCCUAGUACGAGAGGACCGGAGUGGACACACCUCUGGUGUAUCGGUUGUCACGCCAGUGGCAUUGCCGAGUAGCUAAGUGUGGAAGAGAUAACCGCUGAAAGCAUCUAAGCGGGAAACUCGUUUCAAGAUGAGAUCUGCCGGGGCCUUGAGCCCCCUGAAGAGUCGUUCAAGACCAGGACGUUGAUAGGUCGGGUGUGGAAGCUA